UGGGGAAUUUUGCACAAUGGGGGAAACCCUGAUGCAGCGACGCCGCGUGAUUUAGAAGGCCUUCGGGUUGUAAAAAUCUUUUCUAUGGGAAGAAAAUGACAGUACCAUAGGAAUAAGGACCGGCUAAUUACGUGCCAGCAGCCGCGGUAAUACGUAAGGUCCGAGCGUUGUCCGGAAUCAUUGGGCGUAAAGGGUACGUAGGCGGGUAAGCAAGUUAGAAGGGAAAUCCUAUAGCUCAACUAUAGUAAGCUUUUAAAACUGCUCAUCUUGAGGUAUGGAAGGGAGAGUGGAAUUCCUAGUGUAGCGGUGAAAUGCGCAGAUAUUAGGAGGAAUACCGGUGGCGAAGGCGACUUUCUGGCCAUAACCUGACGCUGAGGUACGAAAGCGUGGGUAGCAAACAGG
This 402-nucleotide ribosomal RNA is filed under the name bacterium. RNAcentral describes it as "partial 16S ribosomal RNA". It matches the Rfam family "Bacterial small subunit ribosomal RNA", at positions 355 to 776 of the family's 1533-position model. The record is from RNAcentral.